AUGAUUCGAAACAUUCCGAAUCACUGCCGUUUUUUCUCUUCCGGUUACCAGGCCUAUCAUCUCCGUCUACGUUUGGUUUCAGCUACUGGAUACUGGAGUGAAAUAUUUGUUGGAAUUUGUGGAUCAACUGAAAUAACUGAAUACAACGGGUCAAAUCUCACACUAUAUAAAGUGUAAAGUUAUCGUGUGUUGUAGCUUGUAAUAGAUUAACUAGACCCCUCAAGUUGUCAUUCAUAACAACUAAGCGUCUGGAGAAGAGUAUGUUGAUAUAGGAGAGUUGAUGCAAUUUUACAAGCAUUUUAUCGUGUGUUGUAAUUUUAAUGAACUUCGUCAACACACAAAGUGACAGAAUGAAGCAAUGAAGAUUGAAUAUGCACUAGGGUUUUUUCUCUUCCGGUUACCAGGCCUAUCAUU
RNAcentral lists this long non-coding RNA (414 nucleotides) under Helianthus annuus (common sunflower). The record is from RNAcentral. Lineage: Eukaryota; Viridiplantae; Streptophyta; Magnoliopsida; Asterales; Asteraceae.